RNAcentral lists this ribosomal RNA (406 nucleotides) under uncultured bacterium. RNAcentral describes it as "partial 16S ribosomal RNA". It matches the Rfam family "Bacterial small subunit ribosomal RNA", at positions 30 to 526 of the family's 1533-position model. The record is from RNAcentral.
AUUGAACGCUGGCGGCAGGCCUAACACAUGCAAGUCGAACGAGUGGCGGACGGGUGAGUAAUGUCUGGGAAACUGCCUGAUGGAGGGGGAUAACUACUGGAAACGGUAGCCAAUACCGCUUACCAUCAGAUACCCCCAGAUGGGAUUGGCUAGUUGGUGGGGUAACGGCCCACCAAGGCGAUGAUCCCUAGCUGGUCUGAGAGGAUAACCAGCCACACUGGAACUGAGACACGGUCCAGACUCCUACGGGAGGCAGCAGUGGGGAAUAUUGCACAAUGGGCGCAAGCCUGAUGCAGCCAUGCCGCGUGUAUGAAGAAGGCCUUCGGGUUGUAAAGUACUUUCAGCGGGGAGGCGUUACCCGCAGAAGAAGCACCGGCUAACUCCGUGCCAGCAGCCGCGGUAAUAC